This 486-nucleotide ribosomal RNA is filed under the name uncultured bacterium. RNAcentral describes it as "bacterial SSU rRNA". It matches the Rfam family "Bacterial small subunit ribosomal RNA", at positions 30 to 514 of the family's 1533-position model. The record is from RNAcentral.
AUUGAACGCUGGCGGAAUGCUUUACACAUGCAAGUCGAACGGUAGAGGGGGCAACCCCCUUGAGAGUGGCGAACGGGUGAGUAAUAUAUCGGAACGUGCCCAGUCGUGGGGAUAACGUAGCGAAAGUUACGCUAAUACCGCAUACGAUCUAAGGAUGAAAGCGGGGGAUCGCAAGACCUUGCGCGAUUGGAGCGGCCGAUAUCAGAUUAGGUAGUUGGUGAGGUAAAGGCUCACCAAGCCAACGAUCUGUAGCUGGUCUGAGAGGACGACCAGCCACACUGGAACUGAGACACGGUCCAGACUCCUACGGGAGGCAGCAGUGGGGAAUUUUGGACAAUGGACGCAAGUCUGAUCCAGCCAUUCCGCGUGCAGGAUGAAGGCCCUCGGGUUGUAAACUGCUUUUGUACGGAACGAAAAGGUUCUAUUAAUACUAGGAGCUCAUGACGGUACCGUAAGAAUAAGCACCGGCUAACUACGUGCCAGCAG